GUAAUUAUUAUGUUUUUCUGACGCUGACUGCAAUUACAAAAGGUUUAAUGAUGUCCUAUCGGCAGGCAAGCCUGCCGAGGAAACAAAUAGUACGCAAAAGACAUGGGUAUAUUCAGAAAGGGCGGGAGCAACAAGCGUAAACCUGUUGCGUCCAUCCCCCUGAGAGAAGGGUAAUGAUCCUUCCGCAGGUUCACCUACGGAAA
This 203-nucleotide unclassified non-coding RNA is filed under the name uncultured fungus. Its description in RNAcentral is "sequence contains ITS1". Lineage: Eukaryota; Fungi. The record is from RNAcentral.